Monomorium pharaonis (pharaoh ant) is the source of this 933-nucleotide long non-coding RNA. RefSeq lists it as uncharacterized. The transcript has 2 exons. The record is from RefSeq and is a predicted model, not a curated record. Lineage: Eukaryota; Metazoa; Arthropoda; Insecta; Hymenoptera; Formicidae.
CACGCACGCACGCACGCACGCACGCACGCACGCACGCACGCACGCACACGCACGCACGCACGCACGCACGCACGCAUCCCAUUUGAGCCUUCAAUAUAUUGUUGCAAUUGCAAUGUGUGUGUAUAUAUAUAUAUAUAUAUAUAUAGCUCAUAAAUAUAAAAGUUUAACAAGAAAAAAAUUUAAAAAUAGAAAGAUAACAAAAAGAACUAUGGUGAUUUGAUGUAUACAUGAACACAGCAUUUCAAUGAGAUCCACGAAAAAAUUGUUCUAUCAAAUACGUGCAAAAUAUUUAAAUCUGUACACUAUUUAUAUGAUAUAUAUGUAUAUGUAUGUAUGUAUGUAUGUAACAACUUUAAGAUAUUUUGUGAAAAAAUACAAAGAUACAAAUCGAAAUAUAUGUUUGUAUAUUGUAAACUGCAACCGACAGGACUAAAGUGACAUUUCUUAUCAAGAGGUUUUCUUUCUAAAAAAAAUUCCAUAAACAUGUUAUAGAAAAAUGUACAUCUCGUCGAAGAAGUGCAGUUAGGUCUCUUUUGCGGUGGGAUUGGAUCCAUUGAUGUUGUGAAUAACCUAGGCUUGCCCGGUGGCCCAUGGCUAGUCGGCGACGGUCCAUGCGAAUGAAGAUUAUGAACACUGCUCACUUGAUUGCUGGUGAGGCUGGACAUAGUGGGCUGAUACAUCGAUGGCAUGUAACUGCUCGACGACUGAGACGCCGAUCUGGCAACCAAUGCAUUACGCAUGAAAAUGAUGUCCAUAACAAUGAGAUAAAAAUAAAAAAAAUAGAGAAUAUCAAAUACUUGAUUUGAAGCAGAUACGAAGACAGCAUUUCAACAAGAUUCUUGACAAAACUUCUAGAUACGUGCAAAAUUUAAUAUUAAUUUAUAUUUAUAUAUAUUUAUGUACGCAUAACUAUAAAUCUAUAUAAUUAUACGU